GUGCUUGCUUGGGCAGCACAUAUACUAAACUGGAACAAUACAGAGAAGAUGAGCAUGGCCCCUGCACAAGGAUGAAUGCAAAUUCAUGAAGUGUUCCACAUUUUC
Small nuclear RNA from Dipodomys ordii (Ord's kangaroo rat), 105 nucleotides. The record is from Ensembl. NCBI's taxonomy places the organism in Eukaryota, Metazoa, Chordata, Mammalia, Rodentia, Heteromyidae.